This 1109-nucleotide ribosomal RNA is filed under the name Bacillus safensis. RNAcentral describes it as "bacterial SSU rRNA". It matches the Rfam family "Bacterial small subunit ribosomal RNA", at positions 362 to 1463 of the family's 1533-position model. Lineage: Bacteria; Bacillati; Bacillota; Bacilli; Caryophanales; Bacillaceae. The record is from RNAcentral.
UCUUCCGCAAUGGACGAAAGUCUGACGGAGCAACGCCGCGUGAGUGAUGAAGGUUUUCGGAUCGUAAAGCUCUGUUGUUAGGGAAGAACAAGUGCGAGAGUAACUGCUCGCACCUUGACGGUACCUAACCAGAAAGCCACGGCUAACUACGUGCCAGCAGCCGCGGUAAUACGUAGGUGGCAAGCGUUGUCCGGAAUUAUUGGGCGUAAAGGGCUCGCAGGCGGUUUCUUAAGUCUGAUGUGAAAGCCCCCGGCUCAACCGGGGAGGGUCAUUGGAAACUGGGAAACUUGAGUGCAGAAGAGGAGAGUGGAAUUCCACGUGUAGCGGUGAAAUGCGUAGAGAUGUGGAGGAACACCAGUGGCGAAGGCGACUCUCUGGUCUGUAACUGACGCUGAGGAGCGAAAGCGUGGGGAGCGAACAGGAUUAGAUACCCUGGUAGUCCACGCCGUAAACGAUGAGUGCUAAGUGUUAGGGGGUUUCCGCCCCUUAGUGCUGCAGCUAACGCAUUAAGCACUCCGCCUGGGGAGUACGGUCGCAAGACUGAAACUCAAAGGAAUUGACGGGGGCCCGCACAAGCGGUGGAGCAUGUGGUUUAAUUCGAAGCAACGCGAAGAACCUUACCAGGUCUUGACAUCCUCUGACAACCCUAGAGAUAGGGCUUUCCCUUCGGGGACAGAGUGACAGGUGGUGCAUGGUUGUCGUCAGCUCGUGUCGUGAGAUGUUGGGUUAAGUCCCGCAACGAGCGCAACCCUUGAUCUUAGUUGCCAGCAUUCAGUUGGGCACUCUAAGGUGACUGCCGGUGACAAACCGGAGGAAGGUGGGGAUGACGUCAAAUCAUCAUGCCCCUUAUGACCUGGGCUACACACGUGCUACAAUGGACAGAACAAAGGGCUGCAAGACCGCAAGGUUUAGCCAAUCCCAUAAAUCUGUUCUCAGUUCGGAUCGCAGUCUGCAACUCGACUGCGUGAAGCUGGAAUCGCUAGUAAUCGCGGAUCAGCAUGCCGCGGUGAAUACGUUCCCGGGCCUUGUACACACCGCCCGUCACACCACGAGAGUUUGCAACACCCGAAGUCGGUGAGGUAACCUUUAUGGAGCCAGCCGCCGAAGGU